AUGUUUGCCUCAGUAGCAUGUGUACUAAAAUUGCAAUGAUAGAGAUUAGCACAGUCCCUGAGCAAGGAUAUCACACAAUUUUUUUUGAAGUUUUCCAUACUUUU
Molecule: small nuclear RNA, 104 nt
Filed under: Microtus ochrogaster (prairie vole)
Lineage: Eukaryota; Metazoa; Chordata; Mammalia; Rodentia; Cricetidae
Source: RNAcentral